UGUGGCUUAGUGGUAGAGCACUUGCCUAGCAUGACCAAGGUCCUGGGUUCAAUCCCCAGCA
Molecule: transfer RNA, 61 nt
Filed under: Ictidomys tridecemlineatus (thirteen-lined ground squirrel)
Lineage: Eukaryota; Metazoa; Chordata; Mammalia; Rodentia; Sciuridae
Description: Spermophilus tridecemlineatus (thirteen-lined ground squirrel) tRNA
Rfam family: tRNA
About the family: Transfer RNA (tRNA) molecules are approximately 80 nucleotides in length.
Source: Rfam by way of RNAcentral